CACCGUCGGGUAAUCAACGGUCUGUCUGAACCGAACUGCAGUGCAGAGCCGGAAUGGGGGGCUUGGCCCCGGUCCAGCACGGUCAAAAUUAGCUCUCUGUUGAAUUACAUGCAGUCAGCCAGUGGAAGAGGCUGAGCUCCAGUCCGGCAGCCUUGUAUGGGGAGUCCGAGCCCCGCAAGGCUGCCGCUCGGCUCCGCGUUCGUCCACAGACGCCUUUUCCAGCAGCAACUUCACAGCGACAGGACAAGAACAAAGCCUUUACCAGUCCCGUUUUUAGGAUGACGCCAACUGGAGCAAUGGGCUAUCCCAUUAGAGCCGACAGCUGUGUUCCUGAACCCGCCGGAGCAUGGAGGAACGUCCACCAGACAUCCACAUUCCCUCUGUCUGAUGCGGGAUAAAGAACGGCCCUCGGGGGGGAAACAUAUUCUCCGUGUAUAUUAUUUUUUAUUUCCCAAAAUCAUGUAUAUCCUUAUUUUGUAUGGUUCUGGCGUUCGGUACAGAUGAAAUAUGAUGCUGGGGCUCUUCCCUCAUCUAUGUGAUUAAUAACAUUUAGACAAAACCUGGGACUCUAAGCCUUGAUGAUAUGCUCUUCGGAGGGAACGGCAGUAAAGACACAAAAGCACCUCAAGACAGACCUGACAGACUGGAGCUUCACAUGUCUGUGUUUGCAAACUGCGAGGGUCUGGGAUCCUCGUGGCGGCGGCAGCAGCACGUCUUCCACUUGUCCACUUCUACUUUGCAUGGCUGGACUCUUUCAUACCUCUGUAAAAAACCACGAAACAAAAAAAAAAUCCACCAAUGUUUAACAGUGUUCAUGCAGUAAUGAUGCGAUGUGGGAAACACGAGCGGUGUUUUCUUUAGAAGGCCGAUUCCGAUGUCAGGGUUCCCAUAGAAACGGCAAUCGAUUCUAAAAAUGAGCAUUUAUAGAUCUGGAAUUGUCAUGGAAUUUAUUAAAUUUGCAUAAGGAGUCAUGAAAAAUGUAUUAAAUUAAAGCAAAGGUCCACGUGAAUUAGAAGUUGCUGAAACUUUUGAGCAUGUUGAUGUACUUCCAACUAAAACGGAAUAUUGAGUAGGGGGCGGGGCUUCUUUUUUGCGCAGCAUUUUCUUGUAGCAAACUAAUGGCAAAAGGGGCGUGGCUAAGAAUAUCGUUUCUGAAGGUGAUGUCAACAAAAGAACCGCCAGUCAAAACGCAGAAGCCAAAUAAUCAGAUAGGAUUGUUACGAUACUGGAAUUCGAUACCAAUCGGUACUGAAAUUUUAAAAACGUUAACGUUCCCGCUAACAUUUGAACAUGUUCUUAUUCAGCUCUGAUUUGCCGUUCAUGUACUCAACAGAAAUCACUCUGAUUGGCUAUGAAGGUCAUCAGUUCACCGAACUCAACGCUGUUUACUGAGUGCAACCACAGAUACAGGAACACUGGAGCGCUUUAAAGCCGAGAUUCAUCAGCGAUCGCUUGUAUGUCAGCUUAUAAACAAACCAGCUGAUCUUCAUGGCUUUAAAACGCUCCAGUGUCCCUGUAUCUAUGUUUACGCUCAGUAAACAGGUAAACCGAUGACCUUCAUAGCCAAUCACAGUCAUUUCUGCUCAGAUGUUUGCAGGGAAUGGAUCUCUGACUAGAAAUACCGAUUGGUAUCGAAUUCCAGAAUCGUGACAACCCUAUGAUCAGAUUUGAUUGAAGAUUACCAAAACAAAAAAAUUAUUGCAUGGAUUAAAUACCCAGCUAGCAAAAUAAACAUUAUAAAUUUCGAUUUCACACAGACUUUACAUUCUGUGGGAACCCUGCAGUAUUGAAUGUCUUUUUUGUUGCCAUUUUUGUUUAGUUCGAAAUCUCUAAGAAGUAUUUGAAAUCAAAACUCGCACCUCUGUUAGUUGAUCGGCUGGUGACGUCAUUUCACUACCAAAACAGGCACACUGACUCAAGCACUUUAGAUGUCCCUCCCAGAUCCUCCAUUCCUACGUCGUUUUCAUCAUUAAAACGCAUCGACAUCAGUCAAAACUCACACCUUACAGUAUUUACUAAGGCUAAGAGUCCCCACUUCUCAUGCGGUUACUAAAAAAAAGCUACAGAGUUCAUCUUUUUUUGAUUGGUUGAUUUUGUAGGAUUUCGCUUCAGUUUAGCUUUUUAAUUUUGAUCGUUUUUGUUUGCUUUGCCAGUAUAUUAAAGUGUAAUCAUGUACGUUGUGCUAUAGAAAUAGCUGUACAGACGCAUUGUUUCCUUGUGGUAAGUGACUGAGAUGCUGCCACGGAUUUGAGACACUGAUGAAUGGUGCUAUUUUGGACUUUAAUCUGCUCCUUGGUAAGGAAGCUCAGAUGGGUUUUGUUUUAUACUUUCAUGUUCGGAAAGGAGGUUGUUGGUUCUUUGUUGUCUGGUUGUCGUAAUUCGGAUCGGAUCGACUUUAUUCCCCCCUUGUUGUUUCUGUGUGGCUUUCUCAUUGGACAGAAAAAAAAACAGAUUUGUUGAAGAGUUGGCGUUUCGUUUUAGUUUCUUUACUUUAAAUAAAAAAUAAUGGUAACACUUUACUGUAAGGUUGCAUUAGUUAAUGCUAACUUAGUAAUUAACGAUCAAUACAUUUAUUACAGUAUACAGUCUUUGUUAAAAUAAAGUCUUUCAUUGUUAGUUUUUAACUCGCAGUGCAUUAAUUAAAAGUGAACGUUGAACUAAUAUUAAAGGUGCUGUAUGUACGUUUAUGACUCCCAUAAUAUGUUUGCAGAUAUUUAACAAACAUGCUAAGUGAACAUUCAGAUAUUCUGCUUUGAAAAUGUGCGUUACGUGCCAGAACGUCUGUCUUUGUUUCGGUCUUUUAACCCGCCCACUGCCAGUUUAGCCAAUUAUAUUUCAGCGCUCCUGGUUGCCUUGGUGGAAAACCUCAUAUUUCAUUCAUUCAGAAAGGCUGUCAAAGUGUGCGUCCGCAACCAAAAUGCGACCUCCGGUGGACAGUAGCAGACUCCGAAAUGAGAUGCAGAUUCAGAGUUCCACAUGAGGUGGUUAUUAAUUAGCAAAUAAUAUAAAUAUUACGAAUGUAAACAUUAAAUGAGCAGGUUACAUUGUAACCCCGUGUCCUAACAACACGCAAUUUGGCUGUUUGCACCAGACGAAACAUGACAGAAACAUUUAAAUACAGGCAUUCAGAUGCACAGAAUAGUGCACUCGCUGCACUCCAACGAAAUGCUUUAGAAUCAAAUUAAAACGUAUUAAACCUGAACUUGUCUUGCACUGAGAGUCAAACUUGCAUACUGCACCUUUAUUAAACACUGUAACACUAGUAUUGAUCAUUAUCCCAUGUUAGUAAAUCCAACUAAUAAGAACCCAAUGUAAAUUGUGAGCCAAACAUUUUCCUCAAAGAUGAUUAUUUGCGAAAUUCAGAAAUCCAAGACGGUCGGAGCAAUCACAAAACUGCAAUUAAUAACACUAUUUACCCUUUAAUGUAAAGGUUUAAUUCAAGGAGUAGUUACAGUUCCUGGCACUAGUCACUUCGGGCAGUAGCGAACUCGGUCUAUAGUAGAUCUCAUGCAUACAAAGCGGGAGCGAAGUUCACGAUUUUCGUUCCUUAAAUACAUCGAGGACGCAUCCAGACACUUGAAACAUCGCUGCGAAAACACGAAGGACGUCUGUGGUUGCUGUUGUAUUCUGCUGCGCACGGUCCCAGGCUGACGGCGGUCUAUAUAGUGUGUAUAUAAACCAGGGCAGAUUUCUCAUCAGCUGUUUCCUACACCAGCUGGGAAUGUCUAAUACGCAUCAUCCGUUUAGCGACACCGGGUCCUCCGAUGUAUUUUCUACCGCAAAAAAUGUAGCAUCGAAGAAAAAAACAAACAAACCAUUGACAUCUAUAGCAACUGGUUUUCUGAACGAGUUUUAGGAUAAACACCAAAAGCUUUCUAUUUAUUGUUUAUUUGUUCGUUUGGGUGAUUAAUUUAAGUAGCAUGAUAUCGUCACUUGGUAUUUGCAGUUUUGUCUUUGCUUCCAGUUCACAUACUUUUUAACAAUCCUAAUUCAAAGACCAACUGGAAAGCCCACAUUAGUUUCGUAGUCUUCCAUUCAUUGUUUAUUUCCACUACAAUGGGGAUCGCCCCAGCUUGCUCUAGUCUUUCCUUAGUGCUUUACGGCAUAUCGACUGCAUGCUCUCGGCUCUUCCUGUUUCCUUUUUUGGUUUCUGAUCUGAAUAAUUCUCCUCUCUCGCGUUUAUUUCCUCCAUAGGUUACGUAUUGCCUACUGUGUUGUAAAUAGCCAGUGAAUAGCUUGUAGUAUGUCGAAUUAUUCUGUAACAAUUGUGUGUAUGAUUGGUGUACAAAACAUGAAGUCUGGCCUGGUCAUCUUUAUGAAGAUGCACUGGCGUUUCAUGUCAUUUUCGCAACUUAUGCUGUAGUUGAAUAAAUAUGCAUGCUCAUC
Danio aesculapii is the source of this 4386-nucleotide long non-coding RNA. RefSeq lists it as uncharacterized. NCBI's taxonomy places the organism in Eukaryota, Metazoa, Chordata, Actinopteri, Cypriniformes, Danionidae. The transcript is spliced from 3 exons. The record is from RefSeq and is a predicted model, not a curated record.